RNAcentral lists this long non-coding RNA (272 nucleotides) under Helianthus annuus (common sunflower). Its description in RNAcentral is "sRNA HanXRQr2_Chr09g0395151". Lineage: Eukaryota; Viridiplantae; Streptophyta; Magnoliopsida; Asterales; Asteraceae. The record is from RNAcentral.
GUUCUAUGGCGAUCUUUGUAGUUUAUGUAUUCCAAUGGAACCCUAGCUCCUCUAGAGAGCUUGGAUAGAACAUUAAUGAAGUCUUCAAGAUUUGAAACGUCUUCAUUGGCUAAUCUCUUAAUAAUGGCAUGCUGUUGGACCCCUGCUUUAUGAAGCAUUUACCCAGGUUUUGAUACAUAUACAAGACCACAGGGAAAACGAAAAUUCCUAGCUUGUUGAUACGAGAGCGGGUGUAUAACCCCACCACUAACUUCCAAAAAGUAGUUUGGAGU